Long non-coding RNA from Triticum dicoccoides, 738 nucleotides. RefSeq lists it as uncharacterized. The record is from RefSeq and is a predicted model, not a curated record. The transcript has 5 exons. NCBI's taxonomy places the organism in Eukaryota, Viridiplantae, Streptophyta, Magnoliopsida, Poales, Poaceae.
UUCUAACUCUAUGGGACAAUCUGAAGUUAUUUGGCUCAUCGUUGUGUCACAAGUUUCUGACAUCACCGUGCCUGUACACCAUCGACUUCACUGGAAAUAUGUCUGCACGUACUUCAUCGUCCGCCGGAACUUUGUCUGACCUGAGGUACGUACUACAGUCUCAUGAAUUUGAAUGUGUCAUCAACUAUUACUUAUUAGUUCUGUAUAUGUUCUUUAGUAUAUUGUAAGCUCUGAACAAGACAAUGCCUAAAAGGGUCAGACAUUGCUUUUCCGUGCCAUUCAGUUUUUUCAGUUGAGUUGGCUACUUAAUUUUCCACUAUGUUAAUUCUUUCGUUUGCAAUUUCUCAUUGGUGUUCAUGUAAUUACCCUGCAACCUUUCUUAGUAGUGCCUAACAUUUGAUUGUUGUGCUUACAUAGAACUGGAACUUUUUUGGAUUUUGUAAGGCUGCGGAUAACAAGCCGGCAGGGGGAUUCAAUACCAAGAUUUAUGAUUUGGCAUAAGUGAGAUGACAUAUAGUUAUGGACAUGUUGAUAAUUGGUUAUCAAGCAAAGGCAUUUCCUACAUAUUGAGGGGUAUGCGUGAUAUCUUUUCUAAGGCCAUGAAAUAUUUUCAGGAAGCUUUAGAAUGCUGGUGGCUGAUGGGGAUUAUAAGAACUUAAAUGCCAGAGAAGCCGUGCUCCCCUUUACGACGAAGACUCAGACUUGAAGUCCCUUAUGUGCUUGAUACAAACGCCUCCC